UGUUUCACCGUCGACACGUAGCUCAUCAAGUUCGUGGCUGGCAUGCCAUUGUGUAUAAGUGCAAAGUGUACUAAGAAUGUAAUGGACAUUUCCACAAUUAUGUUGAACAUAAAAAGCCUCCGUGCCAUAGUUUAGAGAAAUGAGAAAGGCACAAUUGCACCGCUAGGUGGAUUAAAACAGGUUUUUAUUACAACUAUUGACGGACGUUUCAUUGCAGGAUAUAUAUGAAGCUGAAAACAACCACAACAAUGGGGUAACUAACAUAAACCUCGCCGGUGACAAAGUGAUAGUCGCACGGUUGAGUGAACGAAUCGAUUUUUUGAGACUGGAAACGUACACGUAAGGUUUUCAGAUCGAUUGGGGAUUUACGUCUGCAUAUGGGCGAAGUAAGUUCUAUGUUUCAAGCAAUUUUUUAAGCUCACCUAGGGCGCAGACAGAUUUUACUUGUUCUUUUAAAAUACUGUAUAUUCUAAGUCAUUUAAUUUUCAGUCUGUAAUGAGUAUGUCAUCAAGUGCCUUAAUUCUUUUUCUUUUUAGCCCGCGUACGCAGCGGUUCGGCAGGAAGCAUUAGUUUAUUUCAGCAACUCGCCGGCUCAAAUCCGUCCACAGCGUUGCCAGCUCAACAUCACGCAUCCGAGGAGGAGCUUCGAUGUAUCCUGGAGUUUCACCAGCAGGGUCACCGGUGACAUGUUUGGAAGUGGCGGGCGGUACAGUCAUUACUGGCAGCCAGGGCCACACUGUUAACGUGUUCCGGCUUGAUAGCCACCUAUUGCAGUUCACCCUAAACGGCCAUUGCGGUCCUAUCACAUGUAUUUUCAUAGACCAGUGGCAGGCCGAGAUGGGCGCAUCUGGUUGCCAGGAUGGUGUGCUAUGUGUGUGGGACUUGAUACGGGGUGCCUGUAUGUACAAAAUUGAAGCCCAUGACGACAUGACGUCGCACUUGCCUGUUCCCCGAGUUACGCAAUAUCGCUUGGACUGAACGAACGAAUACGGUUUUGGGAUAGAUUUCAGGGUUAGCCGCUCAACACCAUGACCGUCAGUCAUGCAUAUUCAUCGCUUGUGAUGCUGACGCUUCUGAACGAAGCCAUUGCUAGCACGAGUUUUUGAUUUGGAAGGAUAGUUGCUGAGGACCAUUCUCACAAUAAGUUUAUAAUAUCCAUUACAUGAUCAAAUGCGCUGAUGGGUUAGGCUUUGGAUUCGGCUAUAUUCCAUCGUCAUUGAAGCUAGAUCAUAGAAUCAUGUUAAUUUGACAGACUGCAAGUGUUAUUAGUAGCACAAACAGCUAGCAGCCCAGCUAGUAUUGUUCUUUCUGCUUGCAACCAACCUGGUUAUAUUGAUGUCAAUGCUAAAUUCGCUGUUGCAGCUGUAUGGUCGCUAUACUGUUCCAUGUGUUAUGGGAUUCGCUAUUAACAUGGGACAGUUAUGCUUAGAGCACCAGAUUCUAAAAGCGACCAAUUUUGACCAAUCACUGGAGACAAAAUCACGCGUAACAAUUAAUAAUAAAUUAAAUUGUUGCUGAGUAAUUUUUGUUGUACAUGAAUAAAACACCGAUUGCCUCGUUACCUAUGCUGCCGUGAUCCGCAUAA
Molecule: long non-coding RNA, 1585 nt
Organism: Topomyia yanbarensis
Lineage: Eukaryota; Metazoa; Arthropoda; Insecta; Diptera; Culicidae
Exons: 3
Source: RefSeq, a predicted model, not a curated record